This 496-nucleotide ribosomal RNA is filed under the name uncultured bacterium. Its description in RNAcentral is "partial 16S ribosomal RNA". It matches the Rfam family "Bacterial small subunit ribosomal RNA", at positions 28 to 507 of the family's 1533-position model. The record is from RNAcentral.
GAUGAACGCUGGCGGCGUGCCUAAUACAUGCAAGUCGAGCGAACGGACGAGAAGCUUGCUUCUCUGAUGUUAGCGGCGGACGGGUGAGUAACACGUGGAUAACCUACCUAUAAGACUGGGAUAACUUCGGGAAACCGGAGCUAUACCGGAUGAUAUUUUGAACCGCAUGGUUCAAAAGUUAAAGACGGUCUUUCUUUCACUUAUAGAUUGAUCCGCGCUGCAUUAGCUAGUUGGUAAGGUAACGGCUUACCAAGGCAACGAUGCAUAGCCGACCUGAGAGGGUGAUCGGCCACACUGGAACUGAGACACGGUCCAGACUCCUACGGGAGGCAGCAGUAGGGAAUCUUCCGCAAUGGGCGAAAGCCUGACGGAGCAACGCCGCGUGAGUGAUGAAGGUCUUCGGAUCGUAAAACUCUGUUAUUAGGGAAGAACAUAUGUGUAAGUAACUGUGCACAUCUUGACGGUACCUAAUCAGAAAGCCACGGCUAACUACGUG